UUGCAGCAAACAAGAAGUGAAUCCCGUAACUCCUCUUCCUAAAAUUCUCCAAAUUUCAAUCUUCCAUAACUUCUUCAUUUCUCAAUGAAAUUGAGCGAUUCUUGCGGCCACUGAACGAAGAAGCGAUUAUCUACAGCUUUAUGGCAUCAAUUUGAGGUAAGGAUCUCGAAUUUUGGUCAGGGUUUCAGAGUAAUAUUUCGGUUUUUUCAAGUUCGAUGGUGAUGAUGUUUAUUAGUUAGGAAUUGACGUUUUUACUAUAAAAUUGAGGAGAUAAAAUGAUUAUGGCUGAGAAUUGAUUUGGUUAUGAUGAUUUGUGAAAGAUUGUUCUUGGUUAGGGUUUGGAGCCAAAAUUUGAAGUGUUGAUGGUGAUUAUUGGAAGGAAUUGGUUCGGUCAUGAAGUAAACAUGCCAACCUCAAGAUCGGACGAGCGAAUAUCGACAAUGCUUGAGGCAAACAGAUCGAGAUAUCGUCAUGCUUAUUUGAAGAAUUUGGAUAGCAAGUGGGAUAGUAUGAUAUGAUUUGAAGAGUCAAGCUUCCGAAGUUUUAAUUCUCGAAAGUCAUUUGCACAAGAAGUAAAAGAAGGUUUUCAUUCUAGCGGUCCGCAGUAGUCUAGAUGUUUUUGUCUAUGUAUUUGUAUAACGCAUUUUAACUCUGAUGUUUUUGUAAAAUGGGGUCACAUGUUUUUGAUAUAUGAAAUAUGAUUUGAUUUGCGAAAAAUUUACACAGGUUUUAGGCUUGCUACGGGUUUCGGAGCUACCACUCCCAUUCCCUAGCGCCGGUCGCGACUCAUAAAUUUGGG
Long non-coding RNA from Mercurialis annua (annual mercury), 799 nucleotides. RefSeq lists it as uncharacterized. The transcript is spliced from 3 exons. The record is from RefSeq and is a predicted model, not a curated record. Lineage: Eukaryota; Viridiplantae; Streptophyta; Magnoliopsida; Malpighiales; Euphorbiaceae.